Molecule: unclassified non-coding RNA, 146 nt
Filed under: soil metagenome
Description: partial internal transcribed spacer 1
Source: RNAcentral
UAAUAAGUGUUUUAUGGCACUUUUUAAAUCCAUAUCCACCUUGUGUGCAAUGUCAGUCGAUCUUCUUUCAUGGAGAUCGACCAAACAUCAACCUUUAUUUUUUAACUCUUUGUCUGAAAAAUAUUAUGAAUAAACAAUUCAAAAUA